AGAAAGAAGAAGGGCUAAUCCUGGAACCUGUUGUCGAUCAUCUCGGCUGAGACAUGAGUGCAUCAUCUCCGCCUGAUGCCACCGCACCAGGAAAAUCAUGCGGCACGGGAACAAUUGACGAAGGCAUUCCCAAGGAGCUAGAAGGCAUCUUUGAUAUCAUCGAGCAAAGCAAGGGCCAGAUGCUCGCGUGGCUAAAGGAUUUGGUUGCCAUCCCCAGCGUGUCAGCCGAGAAGGAACACCGCAAAGACAUCAUGCACGUCAUCAAAG
RNAcentral lists this long non-coding RNA (267 nucleotides) under Dermacentor andersoni. RNAcentral's name for it is "uncharacterized LOC126536214". Lineage: Eukaryota; Metazoa; Arthropoda; Arachnida; Ixodida; Ixodidae. The record is from RNAcentral.